RNAcentral lists this long non-coding RNA (261 nucleotides) under Elaeis guineensis (African oil palm). Its description in RNAcentral is "long non-coding RNA (EGUI_LNC043520)". Lineage: Eukaryota; Viridiplantae; Streptophyta; Magnoliopsida; Arecales; Arecaceae. The record is from RNAcentral.
UUUGGAUCCAAGGAGGCAAUGUACUAAGGACAAUUCCUCUUCCAGUGCCCCUUCUUCUUGUAAUAGAAGCAUUCCACCUGACUCUGAUCGGACUUGAGUUUCUUGGUCUGACUGGGUUUGAGUGCCCCAGCACUUUGCACCUUUUUUUUAUUCUUCUUUCCUUUCUUAAAGGAUCGACAUCCAGAAGAAAACCCUCUCACAACAUUCACCGACUCCUUUUGGAGCUGGUGAUCCUUCUCAAAGUUUUGCAGUAACCCCAGC